RNAcentral lists this ribosomal RNA (429 nucleotides) under uncultured bacterium. Its description in RNAcentral is "partial 16S ribosomal RNA". It matches the Rfam family "Bacterial small subunit ribosomal RNA", at positions 29 to 506 of the family's 1533-position model. The record is from RNAcentral.
ACGCACGCUGGCGGCAGGCCUCACCCCUGCAAGUCGCGCGCGCCUUCGGGUGAGCGGCGGACGGGUGAGUAACGCGUGGGAAUAUGCCCUUCUCUACGGAAUAGUCCUGGGAAACUGGGGGUAAUACCGUAUACGCCCUUUGGGGGAAAGAUUUAUCGGGGAAGGAUUAGCCCGCGUUGGAUUAGGUAGUUGGUGGGGUAAUGGCCUACCAAGCCGACGAUCCAUAGCUGGUUUGAGAGGAUGAUCAGCCACACUGGGACUGAGACACGGCCCAGACUCCGACGGGAGGCAGCAGUGGGGAAUCUUAGACAAUGGGGGCAACCCUGAUCUAGCCAUGCCGCGUGAGUGAUGAAGGCCUUAGGGUUGUAAAGCUCUUUCAGCUGGGAAGAUAAUGACGGUACCAGCAGAAGAAGCCCCGGCUAACUCCGU